This is a long non-coding RNA of Ochotona princeps (American pika), 313 nucleotides long. RefSeq lists it as uncharacterized. The record is from RefSeq and is a predicted model, not a curated record. The transcript is spliced from 2 exons. NCBI's taxonomy places the organism in Eukaryota, Metazoa, Chordata, Mammalia, Lagomorpha, Ochotonidae.
ACUGUGAGACAAACCAAGCAAAGUGUUAGUUCAUGGGUCACUGUAGAUCUUCAAGAGAUUAGCUCUAAGAAGCUGGCAGUUAUCCUUCAUACUUAAACACUGCCAAAGACCUUUGAUCAGUUACACUUCAGGAGUUUGACCCAUACCUUUGAGUGUUCUGAAAGGAAGUCUGGAAGGAGAUAUAUUUGUGCCAAUAGCUCCGUGUAAUCACAACACCGAAAAUAAUAAAUAUGGGAAAGAAUAUUUUCAAGAGUGAAAUCUUCCAAAGCUUUUUGAUGUUCUGAAAUAAACAAAACCAUCUUAAUUACUUUUA